UACGAAGGGGGCGAGCGUUGUUCGGAAUCACUGGGCGUAAAGCGUGCGUAGGCGGCGAUGACAGUUAGGAGUGAAAGCCCAGGGCUCAACCUUGGAAUUGCUCUUAAUACUACAUCGCUCGAAUCUCGGAGAGGAUAGCGGAAUUGUCAGUGUAGCAGUGAAAUGCGUAGAUAUUGACAGGAGCACCAGUGGCGUAAGCGGCUAUCUGGACGAGUAUUGACGCUGAGGCACGAAAGCGUGGGGAUCAAACAGG
Molecule: ribosomal RNA, 253 nt
Filed under: uncultured bacterium
Lineage: Bacteria
Description: partial 16S ribosomal RNA
Rfam family: Bacterial small subunit ribosomal RNA
Source: RNAcentral